GGAGUUUAGAGUUCAAUUCCGGUGUAAGGAGACUCUGUACAUCCUCCCUGUGGAAUUUCUCAGGUUCUUCUCAUUUCUUCCGCACAGUCCAAAGGGUGACUGAGUUCCUGUCAGGAUCUUUGAUCUACACUGGCACUGAAAAUGCGGUUCUGCACGGCAGCAUGCCCCCGUUCUUGGAGCUUGCCAAUUGGCCAUGUUGCGAUAUGUCCAAGUUCAGCCUGAAGUUGGGUGCCUUUGGGGUGUGAAAACAAGUUCUCGGCAGUGUUGCGAACUGAAGCCUAGUGGGAGCUGGAACAUCGAAGACAGCAAGAGUGGCUGUCAGAGGGCUCUGCACUUGAUGAUCAGUGGCUCUCUUUCUCUCUCUUGAUGGAUUGCUUUUUCUCUCUGUCGAUGCUGAUUCUUGAAUUGGGAAACUCAAAAUAAAAAGCAGCGCUUGAGACUGACUGUAACAUUGAAAUAAUGUCUGUUGUCUUCCCUCUCGCUGAGGAAGGAGUGAUGUCUGUCUCUCCCUUGUUAGAAUGAACAGUUAGCUUUUGAUGGGCAGUCGACCAUGGUCUCUCUUUGGGGGCUUUGAGGGUGGGAGGUGGGAAUGCUGACGCUUUCUGCCAGAGUAAGUAGGGGGAGAGGGGAGAGUUGAUGCUACUUACUGCCACAUGUGCAUGGGAGGGGGUCAGAGGGCUUUAGGGUUCUUGUGUUUUUCUGUCUCGAGGACGUCUGCGAAGUGUGAGAAUUUUAGGUUGUAUAUUGUAUACAUUUCCUGAUAUUAAAUGGAACCAGUGGACCAGCUUCCCCUUCAUGGACUCUACCUGCUUUUCUUAUUGCCCCAGUAAAGCAGCCACCCCAGUCCUGUCAGGCAACUGGUAGCACGUGACCACCAGGCUCAAGAUCAGCUUCUAUUCUGCUAUUUUAAGAUCAUUGUACAAUAAGAUGGAUUCUUGUCCUUACAACCUACCUUGUUGUGGCCUUGGCCCUUAUUGCCUGCCUGAAUGGAACAUUUCUGUAACUUGAUGCUUUAUUCUGCAUUCUGUUAUGGAACUCCCUUGUACUAUCUCAGUGCACUGUUGUAAUGAAAUGAUCCAGUUGGCAUGCAAAACAGAUUUUCACAGUACCUCUGCACAUGAUAGUAAUAAGCCAGUUUAUCAAUUUACCAGUUAUGAUUAUUAUUUUACCCUUGUUACAUACAUUUCUAAUUUCCUGACUAUUACAAUGUAGCAGCCUAUAUACAACUCACACCAGUAUUUUCUGCCUAUCUUGCCUCUUAGUUCCAAACUGAUUUUGUUUCUUGGUAUCCCUCAUCCUCAUUGCUCUUAGUUCACUUCUGGAUUCAAAUGUAGACUGCCUCCUUUUUUAUGUUGCCAUUUCCUUUAAAAGACUUUUCCUCAAAUACUACAUUGCUUACAAUGUCACCUAUUAAGCACAUCACAUUGGAAUAACCAAAGUAUUAGAUUAUUCCCAUAUAUUUCUAUUGAUGCCUUUAAUUUACCCAAAUGUAUUCAAUUAAAGGUCCUUCAAAAUUUCCUUUGCUCUGCUGCAGACAUACUCUCAUGUUUUUAUGUAUGAUCUGUUCCUAAAAUACUCUAAUUAUAAUCACCCAUUUUCCUAUGCUCUGUGUGCUUUCUCUUUAAACUUUACAUCAACAGAAUGCAUGUCUUUACAAUUUAAAGCCUUCCCUAUAAUUUCAUUUAUUCGAUUUGCUAAGAAGCUGGUCCCAGUGCAAUCUAAGUGUAGCCAAUUUGAAUGGAACCUCUCCCUUCAUUCAUAGUACUGGUGCUGAAGCCUCACAAACUGGUUAACUGGAGAUCGAUGGGUGGGAAGGACAGUAGUGUAGUGGCUAGCACAAUGCUUUACAGUGCAGGUGGGUUGGGUUCACUUCCCGCUGCUGACUCCUGUAAGGAGUUUGUAUGUUUUCCCCGUGACCGUGUGGGUUUCCUCGCACAGUCCAAUUGUUCAUUGUAAAUUGUCCUGCGACAUUGGGUGGUGCAGCUCGACCAGCCCAAAGUGCUAAUUCCACACUGUAUCUCAAUAAAUAAAUAAACUGAAACCCAUUUCACCCACAGCAA
Hypanus sabinus (Atlantic stingray) is the source of this 2060-nucleotide long non-coding RNA. RefSeq lists it as uncharacterized. The transcript has 2 exons. Lineage: Eukaryota; Metazoa; Chordata; Chondrichthyes; Myliobatiformes; Dasyatidae. The record is from RefSeq and is a predicted model, not a curated record.